ACUCAAAGGAAUUGACGGGGACCCGCACAAGCGGUGGAUGAUGUGGAUUAAUUCGAUGCAACGCGAAGAACCUUACCUACCCUUGACAUGUCCGGAAGCUUGGAGAGAUUCGAGCGUGCCCGAAAGGGAGCCGGAACACAGGUGCUGCAUGGCUGUCGUCAGCUCGUGUCGUGAGAUGUUGGGUUAAGUCCCGCAACGAGCGCAACCCUUGUCAUUAGUUGCUACGAAAGGGCACUCUAAUGAGACUGCCGGUGACAAGCCGGAGGAAGGUGGGGAUGACGUCAAGUCCUCAUGGCCCUUAUGGGUAGGGCCUCACACGUCAUACAAUGGGCGGUACAAAGGGUAGCCAACCCGCGAGGGGGAGCCAAUCCUUGAAAGCCGUUCGUAGUCCGGAUCGCAGUCUGCAACUCGACUGCGUGAAGUCGGAAUCGCUAGUAAUCGCGGAUCAGCAUGUCGCGGUGAAUACGUUCCCGGGUCUUGCACACACCGCCCGU
Molecule: ribosomal RNA, 494 nt
Filed under: uncultured bacterium
Lineage: Bacteria
Description: bacterial SSU rRNA
Rfam family: Bacterial small subunit ribosomal RNA
Source: RNAcentral